Molecule: ribosomal RNA, 253 nt
Filed under: uncultured bacterium
Lineage: Bacteria
Description: partial 16S ribosomal RNA
Rfam family: Bacterial small subunit ribosomal RNA
Source: RNAcentral
AACGUAGGGGACAAGCGUUGUCCGGAUUUACUGGGCGUAAAGCGCCCGUAGGCGGCUUUUUAAGUUGGACGUGAAAGCUCCCGGCUUAACUGGGAGAGGCCGUUCAAAACUGAGAGGCUAGAGUGAGGCAGAGGAGCGCGGAAUUCCCGGUGUAGUGGUGGAAUGCGUAGAUAUCGGGAGGAACACCAGUGGCGAAAGCGGCGCUCUGGGCCUAAACUGACGCUGAGGGGCGAAAGCGUGGGGAGCGAACGGG